This is a long non-coding RNA of Brassica napus (rape), 3314 nucleotides long. RefSeq lists it as uncharacterized. The transcript is spliced from 5 exons. The record is from RefSeq and is a predicted model, not a curated record. Lineage: Eukaryota; Viridiplantae; Streptophyta; Magnoliopsida; Brassicales; Brassicaceae.
CCCCAUUGAUAUGUUAUGAUUUGAAAUGAUAAUUAGCUUCUCAUUUACCUCUUAUUAAUUAUUUUUAAGAUACUUUUAGAUACAUAUUUUUUUUAAUUGUAAUUGUGUGAGGCUAAAGUGCACAUUUGUAAAUUUGGCCUCAAAUCAAAGUGAUUUAUUGCAAAUCAGAAACUUAACUGGUAGAAACAAAAUGAAACAAACAGCAUGGACCAAUAUUACAAAAUUGAAAAAUCUACUUGGACUAUAUUGCACAAUUAAAAGUCUUAGAAAAAAUUGGUGAAGAAACUUGAUCAUAUUAAAAUUUUGAGACAAAUUGGAGAAUAAACAAGAGUUGAAGGACCGAAUGUGAAAAUAGUCAAAAGUUGACCAUUGUUGCUCCAACCAAGCUUUCUCUUCGAGCUGUGAAUGAAUCAUAGGCGAUUUCAGUGUGGAAGAAGCUUAACAGCGUAGAAAGAGCAGUCCCGGAUUUAGCUUCAUCGUGACUGUGAAUCAAAGUGGGGCUCGUCGACAACGGAGCUCUCCGGCUGCUCCGUCACGUCGGUGCUGGCUUUUUACGGAGACAUAUUUGGGGAUUGAGCUUGGGCAUGGCUUGCAGAUGAAUCAACACGAAGAAGGUGGAUCUGAGCUCGGAGAUCGCGGUGGUGGCUUGAAGUUCAUCAUGUUGAGAGAUCCUGAUUUCCCGGAGAGAAAACUACAGUGGACACAGAGUCGCGACAUUGACAUAACGGAGCUCUCCGUUUACUUCAAGUGAUGAUUUUCCCGUCACCACCGCUGCUUUCAUCGUAAGGUUGAGCCCUCGUUGAUACAAUUACAAAAUAAUGGUUAAGAAGAAGAUAGAAUUAGUGAGUGGGUCCUACUAGUUAUGUCGUAGGUAUGCUUUGGUUAAAAAAAGAAAGAAAAAAAUUAAAAGAAAGUGUCAUAAGAGUAGAAACUGUGUUAUAGUGUAAUAAAAACACAAAAUGUGUCUUAGAGUAAAAAUCACACUUAUAAGAAUUUAAUGCUCUAUAUCUCUCCAACAUUUUCUAUUUAUUAUUUAUUUUUAAUCUAAAAACUAUAUAUUAUAAUAUGAGAAUUUUUGCUCUCUCCUAAGCAUGUCAUUACGUGGGUCCCACAUAAAAAACUGCGUUUUAUUUCUAGGAUUCUGUUAACUUUUUGCGUUUAAGUUUUGUAGUGGUUUUUGCGACACGAACCCAAUAAGAGCAUCAUUAUCCACACUACUUUAAGAAACAGUUUUUUAAAUUUUUAGUUGAAAAUUAAGAAACAGCUUCUUGCAUUUCUGUAAGAACGCCGCCCUAAGAAACCGUGGAUAAUGAUGAUCUUAAAAACAUAUUUUCCCUUACUCUCCAUUAUCGUCAUCUUCGAUGUCAAACCAGAUAUUUUCGUCAUCUUCAUCUUGAUGUAGAUUAGGGUUUUAAUUGGUUAAGUCUCCUCUGAGAAACAAAAAAUUACCCUUUUGAUUUCCAUGAAAAACCAUUAAUGUAUCUUCCUUCCUAUUUAUAACAUCAUGGAGAACACGAAAUCCCUUCAUCUCAAAUACAGUCUUUGCCGUCGCAGUUAUACCAACUCCUCCAAAUUUCGAUCUCUGGUGCUCCAGUUUCUCAAGCCGAUGUCCGCAACUCAAUGUUCAGACUCGCUCUGUCUUGGUCGCCUUCUCCGCUUUUGGGAUUCCCAUAUAACAUAAAAAAACAGUGAAUUUAUGGGAAUCACGUCCUCUUCCUCGAUGAAAAGAUAACGAGAUCUUUCUUCUAUCACCACUGAUCUGUUGUGUCUCUUCUAUAAUCGACGGUGACUGUUUUAAGACCACCGUAGUGGGAUCGAGCUAGGAGAGAGUGGAGUCGUAGAGUUCGUCUCCGAUGGAAAUGGCGAAGGAGAUGGUGAUUGAGUAGGAGUUGCGGCUGUUACUGAACUGAGGGAGAGAUUAGGAGAUAAUGGUUUGACCGAAUGUGGUGUUACAUAUCCCGGUGGAGCAGAUCAGUCGUGUCUUAUCCUUUGGUCUCCACAUACUGGCGAAAGAAAUCCAGCAAGUGCGUUGAGUCCUAACGUCGUCUAUAACGCCAUCAUUAACGACAACUUCCCAAUCCUCUCAUGAAUUUCCUCUCCCAUUACUUGGAUAGAGUGUAACUGCGAGUAUCAUAUGCAAUUCUCAAUCCCCUGCAAGUCAUCACUUUAUUCCUUUGACUCUCAAAUUCGGUACGAUAAUGGAAAAUUUGCAACGUCUGGUUUCGGAGUUGAAGCCUCGUAGGUAUAGGGAGACCGUUGUGACACGGCUUAUGCAUUUUUGGGAAGCAUAAAAUGUGAAUAAGGGUGGUGAUCUCAUGGCUGUUUAUAUUAAUUGCUUUGGUGUAUGAGAAGGUAUAUUUUUCUUAACUUAUGCUCUCAUAUUUUACACCAAAAGUAGAGCUUAUUAUUUCUAUUUUCAGAGAGCACCCUAUCCCUACGUUGAAAUCUUUCUUUGUAGUUACAAAAUGGUCAACUCUAGGACAAGACAAACAAGAGCAAAGGUGACUCUUUCUUGGCAUGUUCUUUGAAUCAUUGCCACUUCAUAAGAUUUCUCACGCACACAUCAGACACAUGAAACAGAUUUCCUCUUAGAGCUAUGAUUGUUGGAGUCUUCCAACAAAAUGGAUGGUCAUUUGUUCCCUGCACCGGCUGUAACAGGAAGUUGGAGAAAACGGGCACCUCCCUGCUACAUUUGUGUUUCUUCCAACAUCACCGGCGUUCUCAGGUUCUGUGUUGAGCUAGCUGUCACAGACAAUAACGAUAACGCAACUUUUGUUGUCUUCAACAAUGAGAUGACAAACUAAUCAAGGAAAAUGCAUAUGGCCUUUUUCUACAAGAGAUGCCUAGCGGUGGUUUCCAGGAUGCAAGUACUUUGUCUUCCAUAUACGUGUCACUCAAUACAAUCACAACCAGCACAAUCAUACCUUCGCCGUCUACGCAAUCAGAGAAAAUGUCUUCUUUGGCACUCAACCACAGACUUGCAGCAUCAACCAAACUACAAGAUGCGACAUCGAAGCUGGGCUACGUACAGCAUCUUCUAGCCACCAAGCUAAUGCGUCCAGCAAAAGAAUUGGGGAUGAUGAACCAAAUCCAGCGGGCUUGGAAGAGGAAGGAAACAGUUGCUAACGCCUCCAUUAGUGAUUCUUGCAGAUCACUCUUCCUGUCGCUCUACUUUCAGUUAUUGUCAUUUAAAAAAAACUAAGCUUUUGAUAUCAUAUUUCAUUAUUUUGUUUUAACAAUUUUCUUCAAACUUUCUAUGACGGGAUGAAAUAAUAUUUGCUCUUAAUCUUAACGGCCAGGGGAAUUUGCAUAUU